CAGCAGCCGCGGUAAUACGAAGGGUGCAAGCGUUAAUCGGAACUACUGGGCGUAAAGCGUGCGUAGGCGGUUUGUUAAGUCUGUUGUGAAAUCCCCGGGCUCAACCUGGGAAUGGCAAUGGAUACUGGCAAGCUAGAGUGUGUCAGAGGAUGGUGGAAUUCCCGGUGUAGCGGUGAAAUGCGUAGAGAUCGGGAGGAACAUCAGUGGCGAAGGCGGCCAUCUGGGACAACACUGACGCUGAGGCACGAAAGCGUGGGGAGCAAACAGGAUUAGAUACCCCCGUAGUCCCUGUCUCUUAUAC
RNAcentral lists this ribosomal RNA (301 nucleotides) under uncultured bacterium. Its description in RNAcentral is "partial 16S ribosomal RNA". It matches the Rfam family "Bacterial small subunit ribosomal RNA", at positions 509 to 807 of the family's 1533-position model. The record is from RNAcentral.